UGGGGAAUAUUGCACAAUGGGGGAAACCCGUGAUGCAGCGACGCCGCGUGAACGAAGAAGUAUUUCGGUAUGUAAAGUUCUAUCAGCAGGGAAGAUAAUGACGGUACCUGACUAAGAAGCACCGGCUAAAUACGUGCCAGCAGCCGCGGUAAUACGUAUGGUGCAAGCGUUAUCCGGAUUUACUGGGUGUAAAGGGAGCGCAGGCGGGUCGGCAAGUUGGAAGUGAAAAUCAUGGGCUCAACCCAUGACCUGCUUUCAAAACUGUCGGUCUUGAGUGGUGCAGAGGUAGGUGGAAUUCCCAGUGUAGCGGUGGAAUGCGUAGAUAUUGGGAGGAACACCAGUGGCGAAGGCGGCCUACUGGGCACUAACUGACGCUGAGGCUCGAAAGCAUGGGUAGCAAAC
RNAcentral lists this ribosomal RNA (402 nucleotides) under uncultured Roseburia sp. RNAcentral's name for it is "bacterial SSU rRNA". It matches the Rfam family "Bacterial small subunit ribosomal RNA", at positions 355 to 773 of the family's 1533-position model. Lineage: Bacteria; Bacillati; Bacillota; Clostridia; Lachnospirales; Lachnospiraceae. The record is from RNAcentral.